UGUUUUAAGGUUUGCCUGCAACGUUGGUACUUUUCGAUAUAUAAGUGGGUUUGCGGGUGCAGUUUGGGCACUCGGUCUCUAAAAGGUUUGCCAUCACUGAUAUAGGGCUCUUUUGCACCCAUGUCAUGACCUCAUUGUAUCUUCACAAGGAAAUCGCGCAUUGGAACCAUUUUGUAAAGUAAUGACUGAGCCAAAGCAUCUUGUUGGUGUAGUUAGAAGUAGGUGGAACUAGAGGUCCAAGGCUGUGUCAAGCUCUGUAGCAAUUCUGUAGCUUGAGGGGAAGGGUGAGCCCCCCACCUUCAGCUUUAUUUAGGCUCCAUAAUUCUGCCCUAAAAACUGCCAACAAGGAAUAAUUGGGUUUUGUUUGCUGGAAUGCUAAAAGAGGAGUGGGAAGAGGUCAGAUUCAGAUCACCUGGUAAAACUCUGUGUGAUUUGCAGUAUAUUAGCAAGAGCUCCUGACUCUCAACUCUAUAAUCAACAACAUGAGUUUUCCUACGUCAAUUAGGUUGCUGAAAGGGUAAGAAUCUUGGAAUAACUAGACAUAGAUUUUUAUGUGAAUGCAGGGUGAGCCCCCUUCCAUUCUCGUGCCAAAAACAAAUUCCUAGGCUCAGGGACAC
This is a long non-coding RNA of Varanus komodoensis (Komodo dragon), 617 nucleotides long. RefSeq lists it as uncharacterized. The record is from RefSeq and is a predicted model, not a curated record. NCBI's taxonomy places the organism in Eukaryota, Metazoa, Chordata, Lepidosauria, Squamata, Varanidae. The transcript has 3 exons.